RNAcentral lists this ribosomal RNA (578 nucleotides) under uncultured bacterium. Its description in RNAcentral is "partial 16S ribosomal RNA". It matches the Rfam family "Bacterial small subunit ribosomal RNA", at positions 356 to 932 of the family's 1533-position model. The record is from RNAcentral.
UGGGGAAUUUGGACAAUGGGCGAAAGCCUGAUCCAGCAAUGCCGCGUGUGUGAAGAAGGCCUUCGGGUUGUAAAGCACUUUUGUCCGGAAAGAGACCCUUGGCUCUAAUACAGUCGGGGGAUGACGGUACCGGAAGAAUAAGCACCGGCUAACUACGUGCCAGCAGCCGCGGUAGUACGUAGGGUGCAAGCGUUAAUCGGAAUUACUGGGCGUAAAGCGUGCGCAGGCGGUUUGCUAAGACCGAUGUGAAAUCCCCGGGCUCAACCUGGGAACUGCAUUGGUGACUGGCAGGCUAGAGUAUGGCAGAGGGGGGUAGAAUUCCACGUGUAGCAGUGAAAUGCGUAGAGAUGUGGAGGAAUACCGAUGGCGAAGGCAGCCCCCUGGGCCAAUACUGACGCUCAUGCACGAAAGCGUGGGGAGCAAACAGGAUUAGAUACCCUGGUAGUCCACGCCCUAAACGAUGUCAACUAGUUGUUGGGGAUUCAUUUCCUUAGUAACGUAGCUAACGCGUGAAGUUGACCGCCUGGGGAGUACGGUCGCAAGAUUAAAACUCAAAUGAAUUGACGGGGUCAUAGCUG